CGUUAGCUCAGUUGGUAGAGCAGUUGACUUUUAAUCAAUUGGUCGCUGGUUCGAAUCCAGCACGG
Molecule: transfer RNA, 65 nt
Filed under: Rahnella variigena
Lineage: Bacteria; Pseudomonadati; Pseudomonadota; Gammaproteobacteria; Enterobacterales; Yersiniaceae
Also listed under: 2 other names
Rfam family: tRNA
About the family: Transfer RNA (tRNA) molecules are approximately 80 nucleotides in length. Their secondary structure includes four short double-helical elements and three loops (D, anti-codon, and T loops).
Source: RNAcentral